This 252-nucleotide ribosomal RNA is filed under the name uncultured Bacteroidales bacterium. RNAcentral's name for it is "partial 16S ribosomal RNA". It matches the Rfam family "Bacterial small subunit ribosomal RNA", at positions 524 to 776 of the family's 1533-position model. Lineage: Bacteria; Pseudomonadati; Bacteroidota; Bacteroidia; Bacteroidales. The record is from RNAcentral.
UACGGAGGAUGCGAGCGUUAUCCGGAUUUAUUGGGUUUAAAGGGUGCGCAGGCGGUCUGUUAAGUCAGCGGUCAAAGCCCGGGGCUCAACCCCGGCCCGCCGUUGAAACUGGGGGGCUUGAGUAUGUUUGAGGCAGGCGGAAUGCGUGGUGUAGCGGUGAAAUGCAUAGAUAUCGCGCAGAACCCCGAUUGCGAAGGCAGCAUACCGGCGCCCGACUGACGCUGAGGCACGAAAGCGUGGGUAUCGAACAGG